This is a long non-coding RNA of Saccostrea cuccullata (small rock oyster), 1250 nucleotides long. RefSeq lists it as uncharacterized. The transcript has 5 exons. The record is from RefSeq and is a predicted model, not a curated record. NCBI's taxonomy places the organism in Eukaryota, Metazoa, Mollusca, Bivalvia, Ostreida, Ostreidae.
GAACGACGUGCCAGAUCUCUGCUAUGUUGGAUAUUUGUAUAUAUCAGCAUUACUAUUUUUAUUAGGUCUAUUUAUUGUUCAGUUGGUUAAAUUUGUUUGAACACUGAAGCCUCCGGUACAGCUGUACUGCCGCCCUACGUACGAUACGGAGAAAAUUCGAAAGUGAAAGUAGAAAUCGUGUACAAGUUAACAAUAACCAUCUCGAAGUUGAAGUUAAACAUGCAAUCUGGAACUCGGUAUCACAUCUGACUCGCACUUCUGAAAUGGAUCAAAUCGGACUUUGUCGUCGAGACUCGGAAGAACCCAGCUGCCUAAAUUAUAAUGCCAGUGGAACACAAAACAGAAAAGAUACUUGUAUGCAAGACAUGGAGAAAAGAGCAGACUACAGCCUCUAUAUACCAUUCCUUGGUGCCUCCUUGAAUUGAUGUUUUUCAGGAUAACCAUGCAGGAAUAAAGGUUAACUCAGUAUAAAGUCUUGCUGACAUGAACAUGAUAAUCACAAGAAAGUGAAUAUAUUUCAUCACCUUAAGCAAUCUUCAAAAUACCAGAUUUAGGCACAUCUCUGCAGUGGAAACUGUGACACCAUGGAGUAAACAUGCAGUAUACGUGACGUCACAAUGCUUUUCAAACGUCGGAAUACAUGCACGAGGCUUUAUUAGGGCAAUGACCGGAUAAAGCUUUGGUUUAUUAGGUUACCUUUAUUAGGUCAGUGCAAGGGGUGGUUGCAGGAUAAAUGGAAGUAUAUAGUUUUUAGAUACUAGUAGCUUUUUAGUUCACCUGAGCUGAAAGCUCAAGUGAACUUUUCAGAUCACAUUUUGUUCGGCGUCUGUCUGUCCAUCUGUUAACUUUUCACAUUUUCAACUUCUUCUGAAGAACCACUGGGCCAGGAAAGAUGGAACUUAAAUGGAAGCAUCCUCAGAUAGUGUACUUUAAAGCCUCUUCAACCCGGGAGGGGGGGGGGCACAAUGGACUUUCAGUCUUGCUAAAGAAAUAAGGUAUUUUUAAACAUCUAUUCGGAUAUAAAUAUCGGUUGGUCAUGACUCAUAAGAUUAAAUUCCAUAAAGCCUGAGGGGCUUUAUAAUGAAUUUAAUCUCGUACCAACCUGUAUUUAGCCCGUUGGAUGUUUAAAAAUGAUACCAUAUUACUUAUAUUUACAUUUGUGACUUAUUCAUACUUUAUAUUUGCCUGAUCACGCUGUUUGUGGCUUUUGCAAAAUGCAUUAUUUUUCAAAACCAAUGGCAUGUAUACAA